UACGUAGGCAGCGAGCGUUGUUCGGAGUUACUGGGCGUAAAGGGCGUCUAGGCGGCGGUACAAGCGCGAUGUGAAAGCUCCUGGCUCAACUGGGAGAGUGCGUAGCGAACUGUGCAGCUAGAGGCCAGGCGAUGGGGGUGGAAUUCCCGGUGGAGUGGUGAAAUGCGUAGAGAUCGGGAGGAACACCAGUGGCGCAAGCGGCCCCCAAGCCUGAACCUGACGCUGAGGCGCGAAAGCUAGGGGAGCAAACGGG
Molecule: ribosomal RNA, 253 nt
Filed under: uncultured bacterium
Lineage: Bacteria
Description: partial 16S ribosomal RNA
Rfam family: Bacterial small subunit ribosomal RNA
Source: RNAcentral